This 2739-nucleotide long non-coding RNA is filed under the name Salvia miltiorrhiza (redroot sage). RNAcentral's name for it is "long non-coding RNA (SMIL_LNC005108)". Lineage: Eukaryota; Viridiplantae; Streptophyta; Magnoliopsida; Lamiales; Lamiaceae. The record is from RNAcentral.
AACCUGAAUAAUAAGAUAGAGAGUCGGGCUAGGCCCCUUUGGAUCACAAGUUUUGUUUCAUGUUUCUGACAACCGACGUUCAUUAACAUACAACUAGAAAUUUGAAAUUGAAGCUCGACAUGAAGUCAUCUUAAGUUGAGAAAACAAAAGGUGUAUAAGAGUUAUUACUACAGCGGAAGUCUAUAUAGAAAUUGAACCUUAGCCUCACUCAGUCCCGUCAGCACCGGCCAGCCAACCUGAAAACAUUUGAAAGUAUUUUUGGGCUAAGUACUAAUGUACUCAGUGGGCAUGCAUUUUCAUAAAUAUUUCAUAUUUUCGUAAAUACAGUUUAUCCAAUCAUACUUGACAUAACUUAGAAGGUUUUAAAUUGAAAUAACUUCUAAGCAUGUUAAAAUAAUUUCUUUCAUUCGUGCGCACAUGUCACACUCCCUUUCCGUUACUCGCUGUGAUCCCGGACCUUUUAGCCACCGACGGAUCCAUUUCUCCCAUUGCACUUGCCCUGAGGACGUAACUCAGACAAGUUAAAUUGACCUCGGGACGCUACCCAGGCAGGCCUUACAUGAUACAUGCUCCGGAACACAUCCCGUCGAGCACCCUUAUAACGCCUCUGGCCAGUGCCCGAUGGAGAUCAACCCACCAGGUCAGCUAGCAUGUGUACACGAUUCUCAGACAACGUGUUAGGUCAUAAGAGAACCUCAAUUGAUUAACUUUGCGAGCCUUAAACAGAGCAGAGUGCACAUAAACAUUUUAUUGGAUAAACAGUUUCAUUUCAUUAAUAAAUAAUUUGCAUUUAAUUUAAACAUUUAGAGCUUAAUAACUCAAUCAUACUUUAUACAUUUGGAAAGUAAGCCCACCUGGUUAGGCAAAGCCUGAAGAUCAUAACAACAUAAACCUGUCUUGAGAGAGCAGCGCUAAUCCCCCUGGUCACAAAGCCUACAAGAAAUUCUAUUCUUAAUAGGUCUCGUGAAGCUAAUCUUACUUCUUAGUGGAUGUACUAAACAUUUUUGAAUCAUCACGCCGGGUUUCCAAAAUUUAAUAAUAAAUAUUUGAAAACUAAAAUUCUUGAGUCAAGGAUACCAACAAUAUCCUUACUCGAUUUUCUUUAUUAAUUGGAUAACCAAUUAAAUCAUAAAUACUUUUAUUUGCAAAAAUGCAUAUGCAAAUUCGUUUCAUGCUUAUUCAUAUAAUAAGUAAUUAAAUUCAAUAUAUGCACAUAAUAAUAUCAUAAUUAUCAUGCAUCAACCCUAAAAUAAUUAAAUGAAGGCCCAUUUUCCUUAUGAAAUUCACAGCCCAAAUAUUAAAAGCAAAAUGACCCAAUUGAUUAAGUAAGGGCAGCCCAAACUUAAAUAAAUGAAUGUGGCCCAACCAAAUUAAUAGCUAAAACCCAGCCCAAUACUGACUUGGCCCAAAGACUCAAGCCCAUACUCAAACCCAUCACUCUAGCCCUAAAUUCUUUUUCCUCCUUCCCUUCUUCUCAAACACACGCACACACGCACACACGCACACGACUCACACACACGACCCCUCUCUCUGCUUCUCAAAAUCUGCUCCUCCACCGACGAAAUCCGCCGCCGCCCGAGCUCGCCGGAACAAUAGCGACAGCCACUGACACCAUCGGUUCUUCCCCUCUUUCGGACCUCCGGUGAUUUCAGCAGCGAUCAGCCGCCGCUCGACCUUCUCUUUUUUCAGAACCCGACGGCCGCAGCAGCUGAAGCUAGCCACCGCCGGUCCGCCCCUCUCCCUCGAAUCUCCGGCCGCCGCCCGUAGAUCAGGCGACGCCGCCUCCGACUUCUCCCAGCCCGUUCGUCUCUCUCACAAUCCGCGACACUCCUCUCUCUGACUCGACUCGGCAGCAACACAGUCGCCACCGGAGCUCUGCCUCCCUCUGCUCUCUCUCAAACCUCCCGGCGACAGCAACCCGUGGCCGCCGCCGUUCUCUCUUUCCCCUCCACUCAAUUCCGGUCGACAGCAGCGAGGGCUGCCACUGACCACCCUAGUCCCUCGCUCCGACUGACAGCAACAGGGCCGCCCGCCGGAGCCCUAGGCUCGGCCUCCCCUGACUGACUCUCUUCUCUCCCACAUAGACGCCCCCUGCGCCGUCUCCUUCCUUGGCAGCGGCGGAGUCGCCGCCGCCUCCCUCGAUCCCUUUCAGACCCGACACACGACAACGACUCCCACCCGACAACAUCAACGGCUCAAGCACAAACAAGUUCAAGACUCCGACUUUUCUCUUUUCUUCUUUUCUAUACAUUCACCGAAUAUGUAAAAUCAUUUGACACUUUGAUAUAAACACAUGCGUGUAUGCACAGAAUAUGUAUGCAUAUAUAUAAUAUGAAUGUCAUUUUUCAAAAGUUUGAAAUGUGUUGCUGUGUAUAUAUCGAAUUUGUACAUGAUUUGGACAAGUUUGAAGCUUGAAGCACGAUGUAUGAACAGAGGUAAGCAGAGAAUAGCUGGUGAAUACCUUGUGAGAAAUUUAAGUGAGUAUUUGAUCCUAGUUGCUUGCUGGAAAGGAGAAUGGGCUAGACGGAUGUUCUUGUUUCAUCUUGGCUUUGAGUUUUCCCUCAUGAAAAUGAAUUUGCGUGGAUGAAGGAAAGAGGACCUUUGGUUGAAUGUUGCUGCUGUUUUCUUUUGUUCUAAGUAUUGUAGCUUUUUCUUGAUCGUGUGAUAAUUUGGUAAAUUCUGGAAUCGUGUGUGAGGUGAAAUGGAAAGCAUGGUUGAAAUAACUUAUUGAUGAAUGGG